Molecule: ribosomal RNA, 253 nt
Filed under: uncultured bacterium
Lineage: Bacteria
Description: partial 16S ribosomal RNA
Rfam family: Bacterial small subunit ribosomal RNA
Source: RNAcentral
UACGAAGGGGGCUAGCGUUGUUCGGAAUCACUGGGCGUAAAGCGCACGUAGGCGGAUUGUUAAGUCGGGGGUGAAAUCCUGAGGCUCAACCUCAGAACUGCCUUCGAUACUGGAAAGCUCGAGUCCGGGAGAGGUGAGUGGAACUGCGAGUGUAGAGGUGAAAUUCGUAGAUAUUCGCAAGAACACCAGUGGCGAAGGCGGCUCACUGGCCCGGUACUGACGCUGAGGUGCGAAAGCGUGGGGAGCAAACAGG